Vicia faba (fava bean) is the source of this 318-nucleotide non-coding RNA. NCBI's taxonomy places the organism in Eukaryota, Viridiplantae, Streptophyta, Magnoliopsida, Fabales, Fabaceae. The record is from the annotation of a GenBank genome assembly.
UUGGAAUUCAAGCAUAAAAAGCACAUAUCCUUUUCAUUUCAAGUGUCCAUGAAUUCAUUCGUUCAAGUUCAUUCCAAGGAACUAUCAAAGUGUCAUUCAUCAUUUUUUCAACUUUAUUUCACAAGUCCAAGUUCAAAUUCAAAUGUGCAAACUCAGAAUUCAUUCAAGAUUCAUCAUUCUUCAUUCAAUUUCAAAUCAAUAUAUAUAUAUAUAUUCACCAUUCAAAAAAUACAAGGUCAAAUAUCUUUCAUCAUCAAGUUUUUCUACAACAAAUAUUCAUUACAACUUCAUGUUUUAGAAAGGAGCUUUCACUACUAG